This 69-nucleotide transfer RNA is filed under the name Macrhybopsis meeki (sicklefin chub). RNAcentral's name for it is "tRNA-Ser". The record is from RNAcentral. Lineage: Eukaryota; Metazoa; Chordata; Actinopteri; Cypriniformes; Leuciscidae.
AAGGAAGGACAGAAAUCAGUAAGUGCUGCUAACACUUAUGACCCGAAGUUAAAAUCCUCGGCUUCUUUA